Molecule: non-coding RNA, 104 nt
Filed under: Bacillus sp. (in: firmicutes)
Lineage: Bacteria; Bacillati; Bacillota; Bacilli; Caryophanales; Bacillaceae
Description: Bacillus sp. Guanine sequence
Rfam family: Purine riboswitch aptamer
About the family: Riboswitches are metabolite binding domains within certain messenger RNAs that serve as precision sensors for their corresponding targets.
Source: RNAcentral
AUUAAUUUAUAUAUUAUUACUCGUAUAUCCUCAGUAAUAUGGUCUGAGUGUCUCUACCUGGUUCCCAUUGAAAGAACUGGACUACGAGUUAAAGUAUUAGGCUG